Molecule: long non-coding RNA, 781 nt
Organism: Silurus meridionalis
Lineage: Eukaryota; Metazoa; Chordata; Actinopteri; Siluriformes; Siluridae
Exons: 2
Source: RefSeq, a predicted model, not a curated record
CAGACACCUCAGCAGGAGCCAAAUCCCAGAUCUGAAGCCAAAAAUCACUUUCUGGGUUUUUAGGAGAGAAGAACCUCGCCAUCCUCCUCACGCUGGGAUCAGACCCGCUCCACGAGCUCUACACGUCCAGUAAAAGAUUCGUUCAGUCGUCCGCUGCCCGUCAAGUUGACGCAACGUUUGACCGGAGAUCGCCGACUACACAACCCUUCGCUUCAACUUCGUCCUGGAGAAAACCGAAAUUCCUCAUUACAUGACCUCACAUUGAUGUAGUGGUCAGCGGUUUGACUUGAUGACUCAAAAGAAAAUGAUUCUGACUCACGUUGUGUUCGGGUUAAAGAAUUUGCACACUGCCCUCUGCAGGUGAGGUGUGAACAGAAAUCAGGAAAAAAUUCAAGAAUCACAGAAUCAACGAUUUGGAGCGUUAUUUUGAGAAUGUAUGUCGAAUUGAAACCAUCGAAAUGAAUGAAAAAGCCGAAUGAAUGAAACAUUAAUACGGAAGUCCUAAGAGGCUCUGCGUUCUGCUUUUUUCUUUCUUGGGAUCGCGACUUCAUUUUCUCAUGAGCUCGACAUAACAAAAGUUGUUUUCUCGUGGUCACAACUUCAUUUUCUCAAAGUGCCCAAAUGAUCAUGGUUAUUAUUCAUUCAGGAAACAAUGUUUGUGAUGUCGACAUCACGAGAAAACUAGAAAGAAAAAAAUAUUAGAAUGCAUGUCCUCUCAGGACUUCAGUACAUUACAAUGCUUUCAAAUAAAAAAAUAAAAUAAAAAAUUGAAAUAAUAGGA